AGAGUUUGAUCCUGGCUCAGGACGAACGCUGGCGGCGCGCCUAACACAUGCAAGUCGAACGAGAGAGAGGGAGCUUGCUUCCUCGAUCCGAGUGGCGAACGGGUGAGUAACGCGUGAGGAACCUGCCUCAAAGAGGGGGGACAACAGUUGGAAACGACUGCUAAUACCGCAUAAGCCCACGGCUCGGCAUCGAGCAGAGGGAAAAGGAGCAAUCCGCUUUGAGAUGGCCUCGCGUCCGAUUAGCUAGUUGGUGAGGUAACGGCCCACCAAGGCGACGAUCGGUAGCCGGACUGAGAGGACGAUCAGCCACACUGGAACUGAGACACGGUCCAGACUCCUACGGGAGGCAGCA
This 352-nucleotide ribosomal RNA is filed under the name uncultured bacterium. RNAcentral describes it as "bacterial SSU rRNA". It matches the Rfam family "Bacterial small subunit ribosomal RNA", at positions 8 to 353 of the family's 1533-position model. The record is from RNAcentral.